Molecule: transfer RNA, 72 nt
Filed under: Camelus ferus (Wild Bactrian camel)
Lineage: Eukaryota; Metazoa; Chordata; Mammalia; Artiodactyla; Camelidae
Rfam family: tRNA
About the family: Transfer RNA (tRNA) molecules are approximately 80 nucleotides in length. Their secondary structure includes four short double-helical elements and three loops (D, anti-codon, and T loops). Further hydrogen bonds mediate the characteristic L-shaped molecular structure. tRNAs have two regions of fundamental functional importance: the anti-codon, which is responsible for specific mRNA codon recognition, and the 3' end, to which the tRNAs corresponding amino acid is attached (by aminoacyl-tRNA synthetases). tRNAs cope with the degeneracy of the genetic code in two manners: having more than one tRNA (with a specific anti-codon) for a particular amino acid; and 'wobble' base-pairing, i.e. permitting non-standard base-pairing at the 3rd anti-codon position.
Source: Rfam by way of RNAcentral
GGGGGGACAGCUCAGUAGUACAGCAUGUGCUUGGAGUGCACAAGGUCCUGGGUUCAAUCCCCAGUGCCUUUG